UGCAAUUAAUAAUGUUUUUUUCCAUAAUUGCUGCCUGAACCGUGAUUAAUACAAAAAUAUCACCAUCUUUCAGCUGAAAUUGCA
Non-coding RNA from Capsicum annuum, 84 nucleotides. Lineage: Eukaryota; Viridiplantae; Streptophyta; Magnoliopsida; Solanales; Solanaceae. The record is from Rfam.